Molecule: ribosomal RNA, 484 nt
Filed under: uncultured bacterium
Lineage: Bacteria
Description: partial 16S ribosomal RNA
Rfam family: Bacterial small subunit ribosomal RNA
Source: RNAcentral
AGUGAACGCUGGCGACGUGCUUAACACAUGCAAGUCGAACGAGAACGGGUUAUAGCUUGCUAUAAUUGUCAGCUAAGUGGCGCACGGGUGAGUAAUGUCUAGGUAAUAUGCCUCUUACUAAGGGAUAACAAAUGGAAACGUUUGCUAAUACCUUAUACUCCUUAUUAACAUAAGUUAAUAAGGGAAAGAUUUAUUGGUAAGAGAUUAGCCUGUAUUGUAUCAGUUAGUUGGUGGGGUAAUGGCUUACCAAGACUAUGACACAUAACUGGUUUGAGAGGAUGAUCAGUCACACUGGAACUGAGACACGGUCCAGACUCCUACGGGAGGCAGCAGUGGGGAAUAUUGCACAAUGGACGAAAGUCUGAUGCAGCAACGCCGCGUGGAGGAUGACACAUUUCGGUGCGUAAACUCCUUUUAUAUGAGAAGAUAAUGACGGUAUUAUAUGAAUAAGCACCGGCUAACUCCGUGCCAGCAGCCGCCGUAA